AUGGCACAGGGAGUGCCCAUGGAUGAGCUGGAUGACAUGACUCUGAGAAAGGAAUACUCCCCGGAAGCUCUCGAGGAAACGUAUUACUUCAGUGACUACGACCAUGAUGACAGCAUUGAUUGGUACUUCGACCCUGACCACUCGGUCCACUCCUACUUGAGUGACUACCACCGCCUUGUCCUUAAAAAUGGAGAUGGCACGAGGUACCUUGACUGGGAGAAGUACUGCUCAUGGUUUACUACCUAUGAAACAGAUGAAGAGUAUCUCAAGUACUUUGAAGAAAUAUCAAAGAAAAUCAAGUGGAUUAAACGUUACAUGGAAUUUGAACGAGGAUCUCCUGAGUGGAUGGAGGUGGAAGCUAGAGGAUUUCGGCAAGCAGUGGAGAUCGCGCUAGACUUUCCCCACAUGAGCUUUGAUUUAGCUUUGACUGUUAGAUCCGAUCAUAUUUUUAACACGAGAUUUGAUCAUUUUGACCGUGAAGAAAUUGAUCCUCUUCUUUUUGAGAUUUGGAAACGUCUCACUAAGCGAAAGAUUACAUUCAGACAGGCUCUGGAACAAAUCCAGCAAGAGAACAUGUUCCCUCGACAGGAGAAGUGUAUACAAUUUGUACUGGAUAAUAGUAGUAUCUAUACUCGUUUGCAAUCAACUUUUGAUACUUGCGUGGAAGAUAUCUCUGAUGAGACUCCAGAGGAUGAAGGACGUAGGUUGAUUACAAUGGCGGUUUGGAGUAAGCUUCACAAAGAGAAGACGUGGAAUGAAUAUAUUAUGAGGAAGAUAGAGAUUGCUAAACACAUUGGGUUGGAUCUCCAAGCUACAUGUAUCCGAAUUUAA
Molecule: ribosomal RNA, 831 nt
Filed under: Triticum aestivum (bread wheat)
Lineage: Eukaryota; Viridiplantae; Streptophyta; Magnoliopsida; Poales; Poaceae
Description: partial small subunit ribosomal RNA
Source: RNAcentral